Molecule: long non-coding RNA, 3738 nt
Filed under: Homo sapiens (human)
Lineage: Eukaryota; Metazoa; Chordata; Mammalia; Primates; Hominidae
Description: HSALNT0365718
Source: RNAcentral
AGAAAAACACCAGCAUCUGGUGAGUGGUGUUUAUUCUGAGGUUACUCUUUCUAAAAAUAGUUUUCUGAAAACUCGCCCUGGUCGGCUGGGAAGCACACAGGCGGAGUGGCGAGCCAGUGAAUGGGAGGCUCUCCUGCAGCGGGGGCACCUUAGAGGCUGGUUGUGUGGGCCAAGAAUGCACUCGAAGAGCAGGAACAGAGUUUGCAAGGGGGGCUGCCGGUGUCCACGGGAACCGUGGCAGGCCAGACACACCCAUCCCUGGAGAAGCAGAAGGUCGGCUAGGAGCUAUGAACAUCCUUGCUGAGCCCCAGAAGUGAGGAGCAACAGGGGAGGAAGGAGGCUCCUAUCUUGAAGCUGUUGGGCACCUACGCAAGUGGCACAGGGAGGGGCAGGGUGUUGGCUCCGAGUGAGAGAUUUGCUUAAGCCAGAUGGUGGCCGAUGAAGGAGGCCCAGGCAACCCCUUCUGGUCUUCCAGACAGCACCACAGGUUUGUGUGGGUUGGAGGGGUGCUAUCUGUCUGUCCAUCCACAAGCACAUGCCAGAAAGAAGAGGAUGGAGGAGGUGAAGAUUUUGGGGGGUUCUCAUCAUUUUCCCUUUCCAAGUUUCAUCCUUAUCCAUGCUUCUAAUCACAUGGAGACCAUUACCACUGGGGGAGUCAUUUCCAUUUUUCUUUAGAUUCCAUUCUAAAAUCCCCUAAAGACCUAAAGUAAAGAACGUCAGCAGUGGCAUUUCUAUUCCUCUAAAGGGUAUUUUAGACAAUAAUUUUGGAUAGCCCCACACUGCAUGAAGCAGGGAACUGCAUGCCCUUCCUGCUCGGGAGCCCAGCCCUGCCUCCAGCAGCUCCAGCUUCCUUUCCUCUCUGUCAUGGUGCUGCCUUCUGAUGAGCAAGAAGUUAGUCCCGACUGGCCCUCGGCAAGCUGGGGCUUCUAAGAGAAGAAGGGCUGGGCUGCCCCCUGCAAAUCCUGGAUAAUGCCACUCAGGGAACGGGAGAAGCUGAUGCGCAAAAUAUGCCAUACCCCGCUGCUUUCCUCUCACUCAGACCCCAAGUCAGGUCGGAAGCAGCUCUUCCAGACCUCCCCCAAGGCAAGUUGCUAGAGGAUAAGGCUUUUAUGUGUUUCCUGAUAAAUGUGUGGGAGAAUCCAGCCUCCCUGGAUACUGGAGAAGUCUCCUAUCUGGAAUUGCAGUGUUACUGCUGAUCCAGCCUCCCUGGAUAUUGGAGAAGUCCCCUAUCUGGAACUGCAGUGUUACUGCUGAUCCAGCCUCCCUGGAUAUUGGAGAAGUCCCCUAUCUGGAAUUGCAGUGUUACUGCUGAAACAUGUAGUUUCUGAGCCUUUGUGUUAAGGCAGAGAAAAAUAGCAAACUUGGUAUUAAGAGAAUUCUGAGUUCUCAUGCUUGCUCUAUUCACAGCAAACUCUGAUUUCAGACAAUUCAUUGCACUUCUCCAGGCCUCAGUUUCUUUGUCUAUAAAAUAAGAAUGUUAGACAAGACUUUCUGUGAUGGCUUUUCUGGUUCAAAAUGUCCAUGAUUUCUGUCUGGUGAAUGUACAUGGGGUUUUAUUGUUGUUCGUUUUUUGUUUUUUCUUUAACUAUGUCUAGCCUACUACCCCACCUAAAAGUCAACAGAGAGAGCUCUGGGGUAAAGUGCAUGCCAACCUCAGAGUGCAUAGCCAUACUGUGUAGGAGGAAGCAAAUUUAGAAGGAAACAGGCUUCAUUUAUUCUGCCUGAUAUGGUUAUCUCUCUGAGGCUUGUGCCCAUGCAAGCGAGAUGAGAGUGCGGAGGAAGGCGGGGGGACACGCUGUCAAAUGUCAAAUGUUUAGCAAAGACUUUGAACUCUGACAAUUGAGUCUUCCGGUAACUUGUGUCUCUACUUUUGCAAAAAUGGAAGACGGGGGAAAGAAAAAAGAGAGAAGGAGAGAUAGGCAGAGAGAGAACAGAAAAUGAUUAAAUAUGACACCAUGGUCAUGUAGGUUUCAUGCAAAAAUUAGGCAAAUAAUAUCUAAAUUACUUGCAAGUAAUUUCAGCCUCUUUUCUUUGGCUGUCUUUCAGAAAAUCCCUGAUAAUAGCUCUGAACUAACACUGAAUUCCAGGUCAUCAUGAUACUCUUCCCAGCACAUAGACAUGGGGCCACCGCGCUUGUCCAUGUGCUGAAAAGAGGCACAAAUGUCCGAACCUACUGAGAAUCAUGCCAGUGUAGGAUGAGAACAUUCCUAAAGCCUCAGCCCUCGAGGGCUACAUAUUUGUUUAAGGAAAAUAAGGCAUGUGCAUACACUAAUGAACAAUAAAAUGGAACAGUGCAAGGUAUGAUUCGGGGCAAUAUUUUAUAAAGGUCAAGUACACAUAGGUGGGAAACACAUCUAGGAACUCUCAUGAGCAGGGUGGGAAUUAAAUGUUAAGGUGGGUGUGAGUUUAUAUAUAAUACAGAGGGGGUGUAUUUUGAAGAAGAAAUCAUGAAAAAAAUCACAUUUAGCUGUCAGCCACCUCCUCAUCUGCAUGUUUUGCCAAUCAAGGACAUAAAAUCUAUCAUUCUGUGCUUCAAGUCUCCACAUAGUAACUAGAAGACACAGAAAAUUCUUAUUCAUUUUGAAUUCUGAUAAUUUAGUGCAGGAAAUGGGUGAUGGCAAACUGAUUAUGUAUGAAGAGCCCUCAUUUUGCUGGUGAAGCCUGGGUAUGCCCAGCUACUAAUAACAAGUGGUCAGGCAACCAUGACAGCCUCCCUAUGUGAAUAUAAUGCUAAAUGUAUCUAAGCGAAUUUAGGACCACCUGUUCUGAUUUAUUUUUUAAUCCUUCAAAUACAACAUGGAGUUAGAUGGCUUCUCCAUCAAGACUUCAAUCUCAAAGGGCAAUACUGUGCGGCAAAAGAAGAGCUGGCUCCUGGAGGACUUCUGGGGCCCCAGGCAUGGAUCAAUGUUUGCAUCAGAAAAGAAAGCCUGUCAGCAAUGGAGGUGCUGGAGGAUUUCUGGAAGGGGGGGGCCUCAUUCAAGACCACCAAGGGACUGCUGACUGUUCUCGUUCAUGACGCCUCUCUUCAAGGAAAUUGACCCUCCCAGAGUGCAAGACGGAGAAAAAGGUUCUUAAGAACUUCCCCUGGAAAUCACCACUGAAUGGAUGCCAGGCAAUUCUAGAAUCUCCACUCUUUGGUUUUUUGGGCCCUUGGAUGGAUGAGAAGUGAUGUGCAGAUCUGAUGGGAAAAAUGGCAGAGACCACAGCUUCUCUCCUAAACCCUCAUUCAUUGCCCAUCGGACAAUUCUCCUGUUUCCGAUCCUGUAAGGUCACAAGGAUUUCUCAUUUCAGGUAGACCAGAAAAGAAGCCACUGAUGGAAUGCUGCAAGAAGGGGUUUACCAUGCGGUGUGAUUUCUGGGACCCCUUCUUCCCUGUUGAAAAUAUUUCACAGGCCCCCAGGACCUCCCCCAAAAGACAAGGGCAGAAACCAAAGAAAAUGCACUGUUCCAAUUUUGUCCAGGCUGCCUGUGGAAUGAGAAACCCAUGAGAAAGUUAUUGAGACUUCAGUUUUCUAUUCCUCUCCUUAUCCGGCCUCAUUACCUCCCCAACCCCUGAGAGAAAAAAUAAAUAAUUCACAAACAAAGGACGAGGGUGUGGUGGAUUGAGAGCAGGUUUGCUUGGUGACAGGAGGACUCUGUAGAGGGGGUCUGUUGGGAGGUGAGCAGGAGGGAGUGGCUGCUCCAGAGCCCACAGUUCUGUCCAGAAAGGUGGAAGUAACACAGGCAUCAUGAAGGCUU